UUGAACGCUGGCGGCAUGCUUUACACAUGCAAGUCGAACGGUAACAGGGAGCUUGCUCUCCUGAUUAGUGGCGCACGGGUGAGUAUACCAUAGAUAAUGUACCUCUUAGUUUGGGAUAGCCACUGGAAACGGUGAUUAAUACCAGAUACUCCUUCUCGUUAUAAGACGAGUCGGGAAAGUUUUUUCGCUAAGAGAUCAGUCUAUGUCCUAUCAGCUAGUUGGUGAGGUAAUGGCUCACCAAGGCUAUGACGGGUAUCUGGUUUGAGAGGAUGAUCAGACACACUGGAACUGAGACACGGUCCAGACUCCUACGGGAGGCAGCAGUGAGGAAUAUUGCACAAUGGAGGAAACUCUGAUGCAGCAACGCCGCGUGGAGGAUGACGCAUUUCGGUGUGUAAACUCCUUUUAAGAGGGAAGAUAAUGACGGUACCUCUUGAAUAAGCACCGGCUAACUCCGU
RNAcentral lists this ribosomal RNA (458 nucleotides) under uncultured bacterium. Its description in RNAcentral is "bacterial SSU rRNA". It matches the Rfam family "Bacterial small subunit ribosomal RNA", at positions 30 to 506 of the family's 1533-position model. The record is from RNAcentral.